GUCUAGCCCCGAUAGAGCCGAUAUCCUUUUUGUUUUUUUUUUUUCAAAAAACAAAAAGAUAAAGGCGAUAGCGGGACAAAUU
This is a small RNA of Flavobacterium branchiophilum FL-15, 82 nucleotides long. It matches the Rfam family "Flavo-1 RNA". NCBI's taxonomy places the organism in Bacteria, Pseudomonadati, Bacteroidota, Flavobacteriia, Flavobacteriales, Flavobacteriaceae. The record is from Rfam.